CCACAACUUGAGGAACAUCACCUCCAUUUUAAACGCAUGGAAGCAAAUAUUCAGGAAAAUCAGCUCCAGAAUCGCACAGCUGCUAAGUCACUUGGCUGACCAGAAGAGGAAUCAUGACUCAGACUCCAAGCCUGAAGGGUUUUUCAUUAAAGCCCAGGCCUGAGUAGAAGACAGGUUAAACCUGGGAGGGAGAAAGAAUGCUCUUGCAGGGAUAAAAACUGGAAAUUGUCCACUUGGUUUUUUCUGUUUGCAUGUAGUAAUGGAAAGACCCACCAACUAGGCAGUGCAAAAACAGCUUUCAGCACUGCCUAGCUGUGAGAACUUGGGGCAAAUCUAUCAAACAUCCUGAAGCUGUUUACUCAUCUGCAAAAUGGACACAGAAACACCUGCUCUGAGAUCUUCACGGGCGGUGGUCAGAGUGAUGUGAGAAAGAGCCUGCAGCAGAGCGCUGUGAAACUGUCAAGUGCUUGACAGCUGUGGGCCGGUGUCUCUAAGGCUUUGUCUUUCCUCGGUCACGUCUGGCAGCUCUGCUAAAGUGAGCUCUGCAGGGAGCCCCCACUGCAGUCACUGGGCCUCGGCUGGAAGCCCUGUGGGUGCCCCACUGGCGGGCAGAGAUUGGGCCCUUGUCCGCCUGGUUCCAGGGUGGGCAAUCUGGGAGGUGACCCCAGUGUGGACGCAGCAGCUGCUGCUUAUCUGUAGUCAGUCAGCGACCUGGACAGAUGAGGUGUCCGUGGCGACCUUCCUGCCUCAGACCUUCUGGAAAACUAGCCUCGGUCCGAGGUGGCCUGAGGAGACCUAAAGAGCUAUGUGUGAGAGAAGAAAAAGGACGCCGUGUCACACCUCCCUGCGCUGGGAACAUGCAGAUGAUUUACUUUGUGGACUGAUGUCAUGCAGUCUUUCAUCUCACGUUGGCUACGCUCCACCACUUCCCUCCACCAUCAGUGGUGCCUCGGAAGCUGGACUUGAAGAAGAACUUCACAUGUUUCAGCUGUAACUUCACUGCAUGGAGGCUGGGAGAAUAAAGUACACUGGAGUGCACUUCACUCUACAGGAGGAGAGACACAUGGUUCAACUGCAUCUUCACUGCAUGAUGGCUGAGAGAGCAAAGAAUAGUGGAGUGCACUCACUCUACAGGAGGAGAGACAGGUAAAUUAAGUGUUUCCUAGUCCUUUUGUAGUGAGCCAGGGAUAUUAUCAAGCCUAGUUCUUUCACAUUUUAGUUGUGCUUUUUAAAGGUAAGAUGAUGUGUAUUUGUUGUUGAUUCCUAAGUCUAGCCCAGUGCCUAACAUACAGUAUAUACUCAAUAACUAUGUGUUUAAGAAAUGAACUGGACAAGGAAAGGGAAUAGGAAAGACAAUUAG
Molecule: long non-coding RNA, 1360 nt
Filed under: Capra hircus (goat)
Lineage: Eukaryota; Metazoa; Chordata; Mammalia; Artiodactyla; Bovidae
Description: lncRNA (ENSCHIG00000006958.1)
Source: RNAcentral